RNAcentral lists this signal recognition particle RNA (248 nucleotides) under bovine gut metagenome. RNAcentral's name for it is "Bacterial large signal recognition particle RNA". It matches the Rfam family "Bacterial large signal recognition particle RNA". From Rfam's summary of the family: The signal recognition particle (SRP) is a universally conserved ribonucleoprotein involved in the co-translational targeting of proteins to membranes. Archaeal SRP consists of a 7S RNA and homologues of the eukaryotic SRP19 and SRP54 proteins. The record is from RNAcentral.
CGCACUAAGCGGGGAGUUAGCGGUGCCCUGUACUCGAAAUCCGCUAUAGCGAGGCUGAAUCCUCUGUCGAGGAACGAAGUACUUAGUGACGGAGCCUGUAAGUGGCGUUGAGAGAUGGACCCUGUGCAACAUGACACCUUGAACCUUGUCAGGUCCUAGCGGAAGCAGCAAUAAGAGGUUUGGCAUGUGUGCCGCAGUUUAGUCUGUUUUGAGUCGGCUGCAGGAAUUCCUGCUGAGGCUUCCUUUCG